ACUACGGGUGGCAGCAGUGGGGAAUAUUGGGCAAUGGGCGCAAGCCUGACCCAGCAACGCCGCGUGAAGGAAGAAGGCUUUCGGGUUGUAAACUUCUUUUCUCAGGGACGAAGAAAGUGACGGUACCUGAGGAAUAAGCCACGGCUAACUACGUGCCAGCAGCCGCGGUAAUACGUAGGUGGCAAGCGUUAUCCGGAUUUAUUGGGUGUAAAGGGCGUGUAGGCGGGAGCGCAAGUCAGAUGUGAAAACUCAGGGCUCAACCCUGAGCCUGCAUUUGAAACUGUGUUUCUUGAGUGCUGGAGAGGCAAUCGGAAUUCCGUGUGUAGCGGUGAAAUGCGUAGAUAUACGGAGGAACACCAGUGGCGAAGGCGGAUUGCUGGACAGUAACUGACGCUGAGGCGCGAAAGCGUGGGGAGCAAAUGGGAUUAGAUACCCCAGUAGUC
Molecule: ribosomal RNA, 443 nt
Filed under: uncultured bacterium
Lineage: Bacteria
Description: partial 16S ribosomal RNA
Rfam family: Bacterial small subunit ribosomal RNA
Source: RNAcentral